UUAAGUUCAGGGGGUAUCCUUACCUGAUCUGAGGUCAAACCUUAGAAUAGUUUGAUUUUGACAAAGCUAUACAGAGUAACUAAGCUUGUUGUAUUUCUACUACGCUUGCUGCUAUGUAAACUUGCCAAUCAGUUUAAGAAGUGAACUGCUAGGCAGAUCAUCUUCCAAUACCAAGCAGAGGCUUGAGAUUAUACUGACGC
This 200-nucleotide unclassified non-coding RNA is filed under the name uncultured Ascomycota. RNAcentral describes it as "sequence contains ITS2". Lineage: Eukaryota; Fungi; Ascomycota. The record is from RNAcentral.